CCUGGCCUUGACAUACUAAGAACUUUCCAGAGAUGGAUUGGUGCCUUCGGGAACUUAGAUACAGGUGCUGCAUGGCUGUCGUCAGCUCGUGUCGUGAGAUGUUGGGUUAACGUCCGCAACGAGCGCAACCCUUUUCCUUAUUUGCCAGCGGGUAAUGCCGGGAACUUUAAGGAUACUGCCAGUGACAAACUGGAGGAAGGCGGGGACGACGUCAAGUCAUCAUGGCCCUUACGGCCAGGGCUACACACGUGCUACAAUGGUCGGUACAAAGGGUUGCUACCUCGCGAGAGGAUGCUAAUCUCAAAAAGCCGAUCGUAGUCCGGAUCGCAGUCUGCAACUCGACUGCGUGAAGUCGGAAUCGCUAGUAAUCGCGGAUCAGAAUGCCGCGGUGAAUACGUUCCCGGGCCUUGUACACACCGCCCGUCACACCAUGGGAGUUUGUUGCACCAGAAGUAGGUAGUCUAACCGCAAGGAGGACGCUUACCACGGUGUGGCCGAUGACUGGGGUGAAGUCGUAACAAGGUAGGCGUAGAUGA
Molecule: ribosomal RNA, 536 nt
Filed under: uncultured bacterium
Lineage: Bacteria
Description: bacterial SSU rRNA
Rfam family: Bacterial small subunit ribosomal RNA
Source: RNAcentral